UUAUGUGAUCGUCUCUCGCAUAUCAAUAAGCGGAGGAAAAGAAACUAACAAGGAUUCCCCUAGUAACGGCGAGUGAAGCGGGAAGAGCUCAAAUUUGAAAUCUUAAAGGGUUUCCCUUUACGAAUUGUAGUUUAAAGAAGUGUUUUCUGUUGAGGUUUUGGUAAAAGUUCUUUGGAAUAGGACAUCAUAGAGGGUGAGAAUCCCGUAUUUGACCUUUACUUUCAACUUUGUGAUACACUUUCAAAGAGUCGGAUUGUUUGGGAAUGCAGUCCAAAAUGGGUGGUAAAUUUCAUCUAAAGCUAAAUAUUGGCGAGAGACCGAUAGCGAACAAGUACCGUGAGGGAAAGAUGAAAAGAACUUUGAAAAGAGAGUUAAACAGUACGUGAAAUUGUCAAAAGGGAAGCGUUUGACACCAGUGUUGUUUUUCUGAAAAUCAAUUAAAGAACUGUUUAUGCUAAGUUGUUUAGACUUUAUCAGCUAACUGUUUAGUUUUGAGCUUUUCUUUAAUGCACUUUUCAGUUAACAAGUCAACAUCAAUUCCUUUUGCUGUAAAAAAGCUUGAGGAAGGUGGCUUGAGAUUCGUCUUAAGUGUUUAUAGCCUCUUGCCUAUGCAGUCGGAGAGAUUGAGGUCUGCAGCGUAGAUCCUUCGGGGCUAAAUGCAUUUGUGCUAAGUUAUAGCAUUUUAUAGACAACUUGUUGACUAUGAUUUGUCUUGUAGCUUACUCGCUUAUGUUAUUUUACCUACGCUUAGGAUGUUGACUGAUAUGUAGUCGUA
This 775-nucleotide ribosomal RNA is filed under the name uncultured Neocallimastigales. RNAcentral describes it as "partial large subunit ribosomal RNA". It matches the Rfam family "Eukaryotic large subunit ribosomal RNA", at positions 24 to 644 of the family's 3401-position model. Lineage: Eukaryota; Fungi; Neocallimastigomycota; Neocallimastigomycetes; Neocallimastigales. The record is from RNAcentral.